This 1384-nucleotide ribosomal RNA is filed under the name uncultured Planctomycetota bacterium. RNAcentral describes it as "bacterial SSU rRNA". It matches the Rfam family "Bacterial small subunit ribosomal RNA", at positions 46 to 1397 of the family's 1533-position model. The record is from RNAcentral. Lineage: Bacteria; Pseudomonadati; Planctomycetota.
GGAUUAGGCAUGCAAGUCGAACGAGGAUAUAUCCUUCGGGAUAUAAGCCGAGUGGCGCAAGGGUGAGUAAUGCAUAGAUUACCUGCCUCUAGGAUAAGGACAACUUUGUGAAAACGAAGCUAAUACUUAAUAAUACAAAAGAAAAUAAUUUUCUUUUGUCAAUGGGAGGGUAGCAAUACCUUUUGCCUAGAGAGGGGUUUAUGUCCUAUCAGCUUGUUGGUGGGGUAAUGGCCUACCAAGGCGAAGACGGGUAGCCGGUCUUAGAGGAUGGUCGGCCACACUGGGACUGAGACACUGCCCAGACUUCUACGGAAGGCUGCAGUCGAGAAUCUUUCGCAAUGCCCGAAAGGGUGACGAAGCGACGCCGCGUGAGUGAGGAAGGCCUUAGGGUUGUAAAGCUCUGUCAGGAGUUAAGAAAUAUAAGUGUGCUAAUACCACGUUUGUUUGACGAAGGCUCCAAAGGAAGCCACGGCUAACUCUGUGCCAGCAGCCGCGGUAAUACAGAGGUGGCAAGCGUUGUUCGGAAUUAUUGGGCGUAAAGAGCACGUAGGUGGGUUUGUAAGUCAGAUGUGAAAGCCUUCUGUUCAACGGAAGAAUUGCAUCUGAAACUACAAGUCUUGAGUGUAGGAGGGGAGAAUGGAACUUCUGGUGGAGCGGUGAAAUGCGUAGAUAUCAGAAGGAACGCCGGCGGCGAAAGCGAUUCUCUGGCCUAUUACUGACGCUCAGUGUGCGAAAGCUAGGGGAGCAAACGGGAUUAGAUACCCCGGUAGUCCUAGCCGUAAACGAUGGGCACUAAGUAGAGGGAAUUACCGAUGUUCUCUCUGCCGUAGCUAACGCAUUAAGUGCCCCGCCUGGGGAGUACGGCCGCAAGGCUAAAACUCAAAAGAAUUGACGGGGGCUCGCACAAGCGGUGGAGCAUGUGGCUUAAUUCGAUGCAACGCGAAAAACCUUACCGGGGCUUGACAUGGUAGAAGUAGGAACCCGAAAGGGUAACGAACGGUAUCCAGUCCAUAGCUAUCACAGGUGUUGCAUGGCUGUCGUCAGCUCGUGUCGUGAGACGUUGGGUUAAGUCCCCUAACGAGCGAAACCCUUGUUUUUAGUUACCAGCGGGUUAUGCCGGGUACUCUAGAAAGACUGCCGUCGUCAAGACGGAGGAAGGUGGGGAUGACGUCAAGUCAUCAUGGCCCUUAUGCCCCGGGCUGCACACGUGCUACAAUGGUCGGUACAAACGGAAGCGAAGCCGAGAGGUGAAGCGAAUCCUAAAAAGCCGAUCUCAGUUCGGAUUGGAGGCUGAAAUUCGCCUCCAUGAAGUUGGAAUCGCUAGUAAUCGCGGAUCAGCAAUGCCGCGGUGAAUAUGUUCCCGAGCCUUGUACACACCGCCCGU